Pseudophryne corroboree (corroboree frog) is the source of this 572-nucleotide long non-coding RNA. RefSeq lists it as uncharacterized. The record is from RefSeq and is a predicted model, not a curated record. The transcript has 3 exons. Lineage: Eukaryota; Metazoa; Chordata; Amphibia; Anura; Myobatrachidae.
AUAGGACCAUAAGCCCCCUUGAUGGGCAGUCGAUGGAAGGAAUUCCAAGUGAAAGGAUUUGUCAGGAAACUGAUUUUGAAUCUCAUGAUAAAACUGUGAAAUGUACAGAGGUGUUUUAUCUUCUUAAAGAUCGUGAACCUGCCACUGCAACCGCUCACUUUCAGUUUGCUAAAGAAAUGGCUACGGCUUGUGGAGCUGCCUUAUGUCUGCAUAUUAACUUUGAACAGUGGAAUGAACAAGAUAGGACUGCGCGUCUACAUGGAUAUUGACAUGGUGGAGUAUCUGGCAGGAUCGGGGGGACAGCCUCUCCCACAACUCUACUUGAAUGACCUAGAUAGUGCCCUGAUCCCAGUCAUUCACAACAGGACAUCAGACACGAGCAUUUUACCUCUGGUGAUGGAACUGAUCUUUCACUUGAUAGAGAGCCUCAGUUAGUGUGCGCCUCCACUGCACGGUGGUAUCUGCAUGGGGGCUGGCACAGUCACUGAAAAUUUGGUAAAAUAAUCAAUCAACAGAUUUAUGAAAGUAAAUGCUUAUAGACAGAUUAUUAUAUUCUUUUAUGCAAACCAGCU